AAGUCGUAACAAGGUUUCCGUAGGUGAACCUGCGGAAGGAUCAUUAACACGUAUCCAACGUUAACCCCCCGUGAACCUUCAUUAUGCUGGUUGUGCGCCAUCGUAUCGUAGCCUGGUAAAUCAUCGCCGAACAGUUUUGAUUCAGGGACCUCUAUUAUAAGAACGAGUCUAACCAUAUAGCAUAUAGCAAUGGACCUCUUGUUAGUGUCUGAAAGUGUCACUAGCUCUGUACGGAUGGCGCAGUAACGAUCGCUAGAGGCCGACACGGCGACCAGGUCUCCAUUGCACGCGGUGUGCGAUUCGUACGCACCCUCCAUAAAAUGCUUAGAACAACUGUUAACCAUGGAUAUCUUGUUUCUC
Molecule: unclassified non-coding RNA, 360 nt
Filed under: fungal sp.
Lineage: Eukaryota; Fungi
Description: partial internal transcribed spacer region
Rfam family: Eukaryotic small subunit ribosomal RNA (bases 1-46)
Source: RNAcentral